GGCAACUUGGCCGAGCGGUCUAAGGCGCCACGUUAAGGUGUAUCCUUGAUAUCAAACCCCCCAUGGGUUCCGUGGUCCGAAAGGGCGUGAGUUCGAAUCUCACAGUUGUCA
Non-coding RNA from Cladorrhinum sp. PSN332, 111 nucleotides. Lineage: Eukaryota; Fungi; Ascomycota; Sordariomycetes; Sordariales; Podosporaceae. The record is from the annotation of a GenBank genome assembly.